This 574-nucleotide long non-coding RNA is filed under the name Paramuricea clavata. The record is from RNAcentral. Lineage: Eukaryota; Metazoa; Cnidaria; Anthozoa; Malacalcyonacea; Plexauridae.
CAAGCCACUAUCCACUGCCAAUGUUAUUAAGACAAGCCGCUGUGCCACUGCCAAUGUUAUAAAAAUAAGUCCUUGUGUGGACGAUGGCUACAUUUAGGUAAGUUUUUUUUCUCUUUCCCCCUCUCCCUUCCCUGUGUUUAUCUGUUUAAUUGGGUUUUUUUUUCUUUUUUAGAUAUCUCUAUACAUUAACAUGGUCACAUUAACGAUAACUUCAGUCAACAAAAGUACUCAAAAUACAACAACUUUGGUAUGUUGCUACGUCUUAUUACCAUCUAGUCAUGUCACGAACAAAGCUCGGACUGUAUGGCUUUUGAAAUUCAUGUUACAUUAUACAUAAUUGCAUCCACUAAUACUGUUGCAUUAAUAUUUACAGAUAUCAGAUGUAUACAAUAAUAUGCCUUUCAUUUGCUUGCGCCUGGCAACAUUGGUGGUUAAAUUAUAUUGAAUGAUAUCAUCUUAUGUCAAUGAAUAUUCGAAAAUGAAACAAUUCAAUUCAGCUACCAAAGUUAACACGUCUACAGUCGUGUCGUUAUGUAUUCCGAAAAUUCAAUGUGGAAGACUUGAAAAUUAAAAA